AUGCAGCCGCCUCCAUCCAUCGGCACAUCCGCCCCGCUUAGCCGCAUUGUUCAUCUUGAAAGGGAGCCGCGAGGUGCUGUCAUGUCAAGCCCAAGGAAUGGUGUCGGUCAAUUGGUGUAUAGGCCACCUCGGUCCAGUUUAGAAUUUACCUCUAUUUUAAAUCCCGCUUCCUUGUUAGCUGGGAAACCCCUCCUCUAUGAAGCAGAGAAUGAUCGAUCGAAGACUGAGAAGAUAGAAUAA
This is a non-coding RNA of Vicia faba (fava bean), 240 nucleotides long. Lineage: Eukaryota; Viridiplantae; Streptophyta; Magnoliopsida; Fabales; Fabaceae. The record is from the annotation of a GenBank genome assembly.